UAUGUAAUACUACUUACACUAAAAAACAUUUGAUCAGUAUUGGUGGCCUCAAUGAGCCUGCUUUCAAAUGCAGACUUUUUACGGCCACUCACAAGUAAUGCUCAAUGUUGAGCUUGGAUCGGUAUUUCGUUUUGAGAGAGGUAACGGCAGUGUGUACUUUGUACUUUUGUAAAAUAUGAAAUUAUCAAUAAAGUUCCUGAAAUAAAAGUACGAAUAUCCCAAUGCGCCCCCACCUGUAUUACCACUGCGAGCCACCAGCGGGUUGCGCCCCACAGCUUGAUAUACGCUACUGCUGCUUCCUCCAAGCGAAGAGAAGGAAGCACGGCCGAGUCGAGAGGACACAAAACUAACCAGUGUCGUCGAGAGGAGCGCCACCAAAACAGUUUUUAGAAAAAAAAGUGUUGCUCUCUGCGCCGUGGACCAUCUGGGCAUUUGGCCCCAACGUAAAAACGUGAGGAGCCACCAGCUCCCGAACGAGAAGCACCCUUGGUCGGCGGUUUCCAGGAAAAGGCGACAUUCCAGAGCUGCUGGUGGUGUGUGUGGCUGCAGCCAUGAUUCAGAAGUGUCAGACGCCGGGGACGCAUCCAUCUAACCCAACACACGCAGUCAGCUCGUCUGCCUUCCAGCCACAAGAAGUGUACAUAACCAAUAUGAGGCCGUGUUCCUCUUAUGUCCAUUAUCAGAGCUCUGCUUAAUUGUCACUUUUCUAUUCAUUUUUUUUCUCCAGAAGAGACGUAAUGUCUUCUAAAAAAGAAGUUAUUUUAAAAUGAUUACACUAAUUUACCUGACAGGCAUAAUUUAGCCAUUAUAAUAGUCAAACGCCCGUGUUAAUAUUUAAUGUGGAAUGAUUGAUUAUGAAUUAUUAUGCAUCAGCUAAUGUUGCCUGUUCUCACAAUACACUCUUCUUUCCUCUUUCACUUCAGCUUUGCUUCUCUAACACAAUUUGGAAAAGUGUAGGAUAUUAGAAAAUAAGACUUUUAUCAUGUGCACUUACUCUUCUACCAGGGAUUUGUCACUUUGCAUGUAGAUUUUCUAUUUCUAUACAGCUUUGUGUUUGUGACGUUAAUCCCAACACUUAUUUCUAGGUAAACAUUAAUACGGAGUUAGGGGGUUUCUUUAACGGCACUGUUGACUCAAACUCGACUCAACAAAAAAACAUCUUAUCUCUGUGAACAAAACAGAUUUUAGACACUCGGGGGCAGCGUCAGCAGAUUGUGAACACAAGAUUGAGAUGUGACCUUUGUUUGUUUUAUAGGUGUCACAAAUAGCAUGUUCACAGCCACCAUAUCAUUCAUGUGCGGUUUUCCUAUAAUCUUCUUUCAUGCAGUUUAUGUUCUGAUCUGAGGGGAAGAUUUGUCUCUUCAGCUGCUGAACGCUCCGCUGUGUUCACCAGCUAGCAUUGUGUUGUUUGGCCUACAGCGGAGCUUUAGACAUCUUUUGUUUUUUGUUGAAGACGGCUGCUUGCUGAAUUAAAAAAAAAAAAAAAAAAAAAAAAAAGACUCAAUGGAAAUGAGAACAAAAAUAUAAAGUUCUUAUUGUAACAGUAUUCUAGUAAUGGAGGGCCGUAGGCCUCAACGACAUCAUAUCCUAUCAACCUGCAGGUGGUUCAGUUUGUCGAUGGGAGGAAAUGGGAUCUUUACACCCAAUUUGAGGUGAAGUGACUCAGAGUUUACAUGUAGGAUAUCCCGUGACCCUGGCGUAAUGACUUCCAGACUGCAGGUGGUCCUGCUCGUGUGUGUCAGUGAUGGAGCUCCAUAAACAGACUUAAUCACAUUCCUCCAGCAGUCUCUCUCUCGCUCUCUUUUUUCUGACCUGUCCAACCACCACUCCCACCUGCCCCGUGCAGCAUUUCCUGCUCUACAUCAACUGCUCUUGCACUCCAAUAUUGACACAAAUGGUUUUAGAUUGGAGUUGGUUUUAAAGACCUGUGGGCCAGAGGGUGCCACGCUGCGUCGGCAUCAUACGUUUACACCUCACAGCUUCACAUAUUCACAGUGUGUGCACACAUGAUCACAUGCACACAGAUAUGCAGUAGUGUAAGUACACUGUGUGUGCGCGAUGUGAAUAAAGUUAACCGGACUCAGUUGUACUGAAGAAAAUCAUGGAAAUAAGUGGGAGCCGUCACAGAAAACGGCUGUUUACGCAUCCUUUUCUCUUUUUAAAAGCACAUUCGUGACAUCCCAAAGGUUGUCCGGGUUUGCAAUACAACAGCCACUCGUUUCCAAGUACAAACGCGGUUUUUGUUUAAUUGUUUUCAGAUUUUUUCCCUCUUUCCUCUACCCAUUGAAGCCUUUCCAGGUCUCAAUAACAGAGUGGUCGUCACAGUCCAAACUGCAUGAACAGAAGUGGAUCCUCCUGUGAUGAUGCCCAUGGUUCCUCGUGGGGCAGAAAACGAUGCUGAUUAAGACGGACUUCCAUGACACACAAAUGCGCUUUGUUGUUAUUAAGCAAGAGCUCCGUACUUACUGGACACCCGUAUAUUCACAUACGUGGCUAAUAGCUGAGCGUUUCACUACAAUCUUGAUGAUUUCUUUUUUUCUAGAGUUUACAAUUAAAGUCCCUAAAACCUUCAAUGCUCUGAACACAAAUGACACAAAAACCAAAUCAAUUAAGGGAUCUUUACAUUAUUUUUGCAAAAGCAGGGCUCAGACAGAAGGGUUUAUGGGUAGUUCACCUCUUCUGACCAUCAAAAGGGGAAUCUGGAACAGGACCUUGUUGUUUACAGACGUUAGAAUCAUGUGCAGGCUUUACACAUCCAGUCUAAAACCUCCCAGACAUAUUUAGCAUUUAAAGCGAUCUUAAGCGACCUUUUUUAAGAUCGCUUCCAGGCAGGACCAAAAUAGGUAAUGAGACACCCAUGAGGUUAAUGUUAGCUCACACAAUACUGGUAAACAAUAUUAAAACUGGUCAAAUAAACAGUCUAAUUAGUCCAAAAGUAAAAAAAAACAACACAUUUCCCAAAUUUACCAAAAUAUUGUGCUUUACUCCGACCAUAUCUAUUGCCAUUAAGCCUUUUCACUUUUAUUGUGGAAAACCAAUAUGGUGUUGAGUGAUGAUCUUGUUAUAUUGUCCAAGCCUACUGACGUUAUUCCAGCUGCGCUGCCAAAAAUGCUUCCAGUGUAUGAACUGACAUGAACUUGGUGAUCACUAAAGGUCCUCCCACCUAGUUCUAGAUGGAAGUGGAGGGACAAUAGGAGCAUUUGUCUAUGGAAAUAAUUGUGCCUAAUUAAACAUUACUGAGUCAUUAAAUCAUUAUUUUCAGGUAGCUAAAGUAAUCAUUAUUAUGAUCCGUCAUCCGCUUUAUUUUUAUAAAGCACAAUGAUGAGGAAAAUGUCUGCCCUGGAAAGGGG
Molecule: long non-coding RNA, 3350 nt
Organism: Gasterosteus aculeatus aculeatus (three-spined stickleback)
Lineage: Eukaryota; Metazoa; Chordata; Actinopteri; Perciformes; Gasterosteidae
Source: Ensembl